UACGAAGGGGGCUAGCGUUGCUCGGAAUCACUGGGCGUAAAGCGCACGUAGGCGGAUCUUUAAGUCAGGGGUGAAAUCUCAAGGCUCAACCUUGGAACUGCCUUUGAUACUGGGGAUCUCGAGUCCGGAAGAGGUGAGUGGAACUGCGAGUGUAGAGGUGAAAUUCGUAGAUAUUCGCAAGAACACCAGUGGCGAAGGCGGCUCACUGGUCCGGUACUGACGCUGAGGUGCGAAAGCGUGGGGAGCAAACAGG
Molecule: ribosomal RNA, 253 nt
Filed under: uncultured bacterium
Lineage: Bacteria
Description: partial 16S ribosomal RNA
Rfam family: Bacterial small subunit ribosomal RNA
Source: RNAcentral